UCGUUCGGCCUCGCCGCGGGCCUAGGAUCCAAAUCCCUUUCAAGUUGCUCUAGUUCAUUCAUGGUUUGCUUCACAUAGAUCAUUACUGCUGGGACACAAGUAGUAUAGGUCAUGUCUUCACAAACCCGACAUCUUCUGAAAAUGGCGCAAGCAAUGGCUCUAAUCCUGUCUCUUGUUUGCUUUUUUCUAUAAGCAAGCAUUUUAUCUUAUCACUGCAUGUUUUUAAUGCGCGAGAGUUCUGUAGGUGUUGAUCCUGCAACUGCUGCACUUCUACCUCCAUUUGGGCUAACAAGUUGUAACAAUGUCCACUUUCAAUUUCAAAAUUUCUAGCAUGUUUAACUCUUUACCCUCAAGAGCAACCACUUUUCUCUUUAGAUUGGAAACAAUUUCUCGUGGUCCCUUUUCAAUUGAUUCAAGUACUGGAGACGCUCCUCUGUUCUUGUAGCCCACUGUGCUUUGAGCUCUUCCAGGACAUUCUCAGAUUUUUCUAAUUCAUCCCAACAUUCCAUAUUUUAUUUUCCAACCCUUUUAUCAAUCGCUCAUCUGAUCGACUCCUUUGUUGCUUAUCAGCGGCUAUUCUCAACUACCAGAUUUGGGCCCUAAGCACGUCGUUUUCUCGAACCAGUCUGUUCUUCUCACCCUGAUCCGCGGCAACUUGCACAAUGUUCUCAAAUUUCAGACCUUCAACUUGUUGCUUCAGCUUACCAAUUUCAGCCCGAUAACCUUCUUCCUUUGCUAACCAAUCUCGUAGUUCUAGUGAUGAUUGAGUGAAAUCCUGGACGUGGGGUCUUUUAGAUGGCCUCUGAUGCUCAAGUUACUUUUGUACCAUGCGAGGUAUUCUGCAAUACUUCUCCUUUGGGCCGAUCCUGUGCACAAGUAUCGGCUUGUAGAUAUUGACGUUCAUUCCAAAUCUCGCGGACUUUUG
This 925-nucleotide long non-coding RNA is filed under the name Nicotiana benthamiana. RNAcentral's name for it is "long non-coding RNA (NBEN_LNC038074)". The record is from RNAcentral. Lineage: Eukaryota; Viridiplantae; Streptophyta; Magnoliopsida; Solanales; Solanaceae.